This 301-nucleotide ribosomal RNA is filed under the name uncultured bacterium. RNAcentral's name for it is "partial 16S ribosomal RNA". It matches the Rfam family "Bacterial small subunit ribosomal RNA", at positions 509 to 808 of the family's 1533-position model. The record is from RNAcentral.
CAGCAGCCGCGGUAAUACGUAGGUCCCGAGCGUUAUCCGGAUUUAUUGGGCGUAAAGCGAGCGCAGGCGGUUAGAUAAGUCUGAAGUUAAAGGCUGUGGCUUAACCAUAGUACGCUUUGGAAACUGUUUAACUUGAGUGCAGAAGGGGGGAGUGGAAUUCCAUGUGUAGCGGUGAAAUGCGUAGAUAUAUGGGGGAGCACCGGUGGCGAAAGCGGCUCUCUGGUCUGUCACUGACGCUGAGGCUCGAAAGCGUGGGUAGCGAACAGGAUUAGAUACCCCCGUAGUCCCUGUCUCUUAUACC